UCUCGGUGCUUCCCGCCGAGCUCCGCGAUGACUCCUUAGGGAAAAAUCUGUACCCUCCAAAUCUAGUACUCUUUAGGCUGCAGUGCUGGAAAAGACGUCCAGAAAUUCUCAUUCUAAAUACGUAACAGGUCAAUCUUUCUCUACACCGAGGCAACUGUCAAAGUCCUGUCCAGAAGCUGGGAAUUUGCUUUGAUAUACUGGACACGGCCAGGAAAUGAUGCAGUUACCAAAGGGGGUCAAGAGAAUUUACAGCCCGGUCUCAGUUCAGAAACCCUCAUAAAAUAGAUGCAGAAGGCAACAGGAUAUAAUUCAACUUCGAAAGUGCCAGCCGCUACAGUUGAAGAAAUAUAACCCAAGAGAGUCAGCUCCUCUGCAAGAUGGAAGGAGUCUUCAGUAAGACAUAAAUUUGUAAUGAACUUGCUCUCAACAUCCGGCACCGCUGUGAGUUACAGCUUUCAUCCAUUACCACAGAAUUAGGUACAGGAUGGGUAAGAAUAUGCCUCCACAGAUGUC
Lemur catta (Ring-tailed lemur) is the source of this 513-nucleotide long non-coding RNA. RefSeq lists it as uncharacterized. The record is from RefSeq and is a predicted model, not a curated record. Lineage: Eukaryota; Metazoa; Chordata; Mammalia; Primates; Lemuridae. The transcript is spliced from 3 exons.